Molecule: long non-coding RNA, 6027 nt
Filed under: Sus scrofa (pig)
Lineage: Eukaryota; Metazoa; Chordata; Mammalia; Artiodactyla; Suidae
Description: lncRNA (ENSSSCG00000060956.1)
Source: RNAcentral
AGAUCCUCCUCAUUACAUCUUUAAUUGUGCACAUUUUUGAAGUUUUUUAUAAUUUACGGAUGUUACAAUUUUAUUCCAAUGCUUUUGCAAAAGUGAUAUUUUUUUUAGUAAUAACUCUACCAAACACAGGAACUUUCUUGUUCCUGUGCCCUUCUGCCUAUAAUAGUCUUGAAUUUUUUACAGCUGCUUAGAACUCCUUUUCUAUCUGCUGGAUUAGAUGUGCCUGAUUCAAAUUGAUUUUUGCUCAGAUAAUUUCUUAACAUCUUUAAUGUGCUUCAGUUUAUCUUUUAACAAUGCUAUUGUUAAAGAAAAAAUUAUUCUGACAAAUAGCAAGAAAGGCUUUAUUCAAGACUGUUGCAAUAGGGGAGAGAAAUCAGGCUCAAUUCCAAAUAAAGCAGAGAGAGAUGAAGAUUUAUAAUCAACAAGCCAAAUGAGGGAGUUAGUGGGUAGAAAAUCGCUGAGAGGAGACGACAAGGGCAGGGGAUUCUUGCUAAUCCGAUCUAACAGAAUUCUUACUGAAGGCAAGCCAGAGUUAUAUAUCAACCAUAGGGGUUGAGGAAUUUGAUCAUAUGUUGAGGGUGGAGGGAUUCUCAUUAAAGUAAUUUUAUUCUUGGAUGGUUGUGUGGUGAGAACAUUGAACCCUAACCAAUUGAUGUUGGUCCCCAGAACUUUUCCCUUUGGAGAAAGAAUUCAGCAAAGAGAUUGAGAACAGUGAGGCAAAUAAGUGUUUACUAAGAGAGAAGAGAGAGAAGAUUGGUGUGAAGAAAGCACAGGCAGGUUCUUGUUCAGGGAAGGGAGGGAGAGGGAGAUAGAGACAGAAAGAGCAAGAGAGGACGUGGGUGACACAUGCUUUGGAUGUCAAAUAAAUCACUUGUAUGGAGGCAGUCCUCCUGGGCUUCCUCUGGCCAAUCAUUUUGCUUUGUCUGGCCUUGAGCCCACAUUUGGACGGACUCGGACUCGCAGUUCUCCUGUGUGCGUGCGCAUCUUUUAACCAGGAUGGAUUCUAGCACAAGGGUUUUUGGAAAGUUGACAGGAUGUACUGUGGUACAGUGCCCUCCUUUCUCUGACCCCUGAGGAACAUUUCUGUGAGUAUGUAGUCCUGGAGGUUUCUCUGACCUCAAGAAUGAGAAAUAGGUGGUCUUUAUCUUUCAUCCAAGUUCCUCCUUGACCCUGCUGUAACCUUUAUCUUGAAGUAACUGUUCACAGGGAACAGAUUACAGUUGCUCAGCCUGGGGCCCAUCUAUCUCAUUCUUCAAUUUAGGCAGGAAUUUUGCUACAACUAGACUGCACUGCCAAAGACAAGGCCCAAAGAUGAGGCCUUGUUGAAAGAGUUUGUCUCAAGUUUGAUUAAAAGUGUCACUCUAUCAAUGCUGCCUUGCUAAACUGUUAAUUAAGAGUUAAAGCAUUCUCAACUUAACCUAUGUGAUUGUAAAGACAGCCAUGCACAGUGUCCAAGAUCCUCUCUAAUGAUUGUGAGACCCAGCCCUCCGACUUGACUUCCUGGGUGGCUUGGAUACCUGCCUCACUUUUCUGGUCAGGGCCUGUUUCCUCAUCCAUAAAAUAGGACCUGCACUAAUGGACCCUUUGUGUAGCAAAUAAGAUGAUAUAUUGAAAAUGCCUUGAAACUCUACUUUUCUGUGCAAAUGAAAAGUGCUGUUAUUGUCAAGAAUGUCUCUCUCCUCCUUAUUCCAGUGAACUCAAAGUAACUAUAAGUUUGAUGCCUGCUAUACCACAGAUAGAAGUAGCCAAAACCUGCUAUAACCCCCUCUUUUGUUUUUUGUAUUUUGUUAAUGUCUCUAUUGCAACCUUUGUGAUUUUGUCUUGCAAUUAUUUAAUUACACAGCUUUUCAUCCCACCACUUUUUUCUUAAGACAGGCAGCUUACGUCAUUCUUCUUUGUGUUCCCAUUUCCCGUGGUACAUAUUUGGUCUUCAAUAACUAUUUGCUGAAAAGACAGAUAGUUAUUUCUUGCUUCCAAGAACAUCUGCUAAGAGUUCUUUUUUUCUCUAGUUUUCCUUGAGCAGCAUCCUCCAGCAACCAAAGAAACUCUUUUCCUGGCUUUCUUUUUAUAUUGGCAUACUGGAGUGAAAUCACAUUAUUAUAAAGAGUUUAUACUCAAGAAAGGCAUGUGAAACAAAAAUCACAUGUAGUCAAAACUGUCUUUGAAAAAGGCCUCAAGUAGCCCUUUGCUUCUCUUUUGCAAUCUCUUUCACUGAAAGCAAUAAAUAAAUAAAUAAAUAGGGUCACUGAAAGCAAUAAGUAAAUAAGGAUUUCCCACACAAUCUUUUUUUAGGUGACCAAAGUGAUUUAUUUUGGUAAGUUAAAUGUGUAAAUGCUGGAGUUCCCAUUGUGGCUCAGUGGUAAAGAACCUGACUAGUAUCCAUGAGGAUGCAGGUUCAAUCCCUGGCCUUGCUCAGUGGGUUAAGUAUCCAGCAUUGCGGUGAGCUGUGAUGUAGGUCACAGACGUGGCUCAGAUUCUUUUUCUGUGGCCAUGGUGUAGGCUGGCACCUGCCACUCUGAUUUGACCCCUAGCCUGGGAACUUCCAUAUGCCACAGGUGUGGCCCUAAAAAGAAAAAGAAAAAAAAAAGUGUAUAUGCUGAUGUGAUAUUGCCUUGUAUUGUUGGGUCCUGAUUCCCAUCCUGUAUUUUCCGUGUUUUUCUUCUUUCCUCUCAGCUGGGAUUUGCCAUUCUUAUUUUAGUUUUAAACCUGCAUUAGUGUCUGUUGAAGACUGUUAAAGCUUGAGGACUUAAUAAGUUAUGGUUCAUUAUGUGGGCAAAUAGCAGCAAAUUGUUGUCCUGAUAAGUUUGGCGUGACCCCACUUCUCAGUCCCAAUUACACUAGUGGAUUUACACCUUCUUCCAGAAUCACAUUCUCUGCCUCAUGCUUCAUAUGUUAAUUGCAUCCCUGCCUUUCCCUUGAAGUAUCAGUCUCUGUCUGAAGAAUCUCUUCUCUAGGAGGGGGCAGUGGACUUACAACCACUACUCAGUUCUCCUCAUACACAUGGCAGUUCAGAUUUCUUUCUUCUGCUUUCACACUCUACCUACAUUCUUGCUAUAUAUUUCAGAUAGCUUUAUCUAUCAAUACCUUGACCUAUAUUGUUAACAAACCCACCAAGUACCAUUUUUAUUCCAAAAGGGAUUCUCUGCCCCGAGCUCAGCAGCUGGUUCCAGGUCCUCACUUUCCUGUUUUGCUUCUGUGAAUCUCAUCGUCAUAUCAUCACAUCGUGAAUCUAACUCAAUUGUGGCAGCUUAGGUGAAUGAGUGACUUUUGAGAGACUAUUAUUGUCAACCACAACUAAUGUAAUAUAAACAGAGUUAAACCUUUAACACAAGAAUUAUGUAUUAAACACUAACAGAUUUCCUCACACAUUAACUAUCUGGUGGAUUUUCCUUUUUACGAAGAAAUUGAAUAUCCAGAAAUUAGCUUCCAAAGCAUUAAUUCUUUGAGUCAUGAAGAGAUAUUUUAAUUAGGGAACAGAAUCCAACAUUGGAUUUAACUCAUAACCUUGAAAUAUACUCAAAGGGUGGUACAGAAUAAUCUCUCCAUCAGGAGGAAAUGAGGAGGAAUGAGAGCCAGAGAGUCAUCACUCUGAAAUCUGUUGAAUAAAAGUGAUUAAUUUCAAAGUCUGACUCACAAAUUUGUGGUUGAUGGUCUUCGGUUUGGAAUUUUUAUACAUCUUUACUUGGACAAGAAUCCUACAUGUGAAAACAAUAAUCUAUCAGUUUAACUUUUUGUUUUCUUGGAGAGUUUCCAGCAGUGUAUGAUUUUUAAGAAAUACACAUUUAUAUGCACACUUACAUACAUAUAUAUGUAUCCUGUUCUUUAUCUUGAAUUAGGUUUAGAAAGUGUUGGAAAUGGGUUAUAAUCUCAGAUCCAGGAAUGAGAUGUUCUUGAAGACAGACAGAGAUGAGAAUUGGCUCAUUUGUAUAGCUUAAGUCUUCACACACCUUAGCUGAGAUGCAAUAAGAAAUAUGCCUUAUUUCACACCGUAACAUGAUUUGAAUUCUUUCCUACUGCCUUUCUCUCUUGUAGGCAAUUGUGAUACCUUUGACCCAACUGCAUAGACAUAGCAAAGUCAUGGGUUCUUUCUAGGAUCUUAAUUGUGUAAAGGAACAGCGAUAAAAAUCAGAAUGAAUUUUAGAGUGUUGUGUGAAAAGCUGGCCACAUGCUGAAAGGUACUUGCCUUUUGCAAUCCUAAAUCCUCACUUCUAAGGAAAAAAAAUUGAGACUCACAAAGCAAGAUUAGAUUUUCAUCGAUGACUCAUUCCUGGGAAUCCUGCAUGGUCCCAGUAUUUACUGCUUUAUUAUAUGAGUAAAUGGAACAGUAUAAACACUCUGACCUUUAAUUCAGGAUCUCAGCAACUGUACCCCAUGCCUUUCUAGUCUAAUCUGUUAGGAAAAUAAAAAUUGAGAAAUAUACGAUUCAAUAACCAUAUUUAAUUAAUUCACUAAAUAGGUUCAAAGCAGGUAUGAUUAGAGAUAUUAGGUAGUUUUUUUCCCCCCUGUUCACUUUAUAAAAACAAAAAAACUAGCAUUAAUCAGAGAAUAAAAAUGUUGAGCAUUGUAUUUCCUAGUGUCAGUGGUUCAAAUGGGCCUAUCUCAGAGAAGGGGAAAAAAUAAAGAUUAUGUACAAUGUGAUUUUUUUCUUGAAGCUCUUUUCAGCUUUUUGCAAAACAUGGCAAUACUUAACUAAUCUGCUUUCCUGACUGUGAUCUUAGCUUUUAAGUCACACACUUAAAGAAAAAAAAAGAACAUUCUUUUUACUGUUCUUGCUCUUAAGAAAAAAAUCUGUCACAAGUUUACUGAAGGCAUUUGGCAUUUUGAUGGAGAUCAGAUAAGACAAUAUAUGCCUCAUGAAAAGCAGUGUGAGAACCGGCAUGCAUGAAUUCAUAUUAAGAAAAAAUUAUCAACAAGCUGAAGAAAACUGAGCGUUCGUGAACAUCAAAACAGGAAGACAAUGGCAUAAAAAUAAUCUUAACAGUCCAUCAGGUUUACUGGGAAAAAAUGCCUUCUAUUGUUACCACUAUCAGCCCACUAGAAUAACAAAAAAUGUUUUAUGCUAUGAGUGCCGUUGACAAGGGGAAGAAAGCUUUUUCAGUUGGUCUAAGUUUAGCUUUUUCCUUUUCUUUUAAUUGCCUGAAAUCAACUAUCAUUUCAUUUCUGGGUUCAUUCCACUAAUUUAUAGCCUAGAAGCACGCAUAUGGGCUUAAUUCAUGGAGCACUCAGCUAAUUUCCCAUCUGAGCUCUCUCAACUUCAUCAUUUAAAUUCCCCCAGUGAUGUGGGAACUUAAAGAACAAUUGUUUUCUCUUUAUUUCCAUAAUUUCAUGCCUAUAAAUCCUCUUCAUAUUUCUUACAUGAUUUCAUAAAUUAUAUAUAACUUCCAAAUUGGUUUAUAAUUUACCUCACUCUUGCAAAUAAAGUCAUUUGCUUAAAGUCUCCAAAAAUGAUAUAUAUUAGACUAGUUCUAAAAGAACUUGAGAAGCAUGGGGUCGUAUUAAAUCACCUGUGCCUUGCUGGAAUGAUAGAGAAAGUAAAAUACAAUAUAAAACAAUAACAGAGAGACUCAGGAGAGGUAGCAAGUGAAAGACCUUAAGAACUGAGAGUUCCCAUUGUUAAGCAGUUUAAGAACCCAACAUAAUGUCCAUGAGCAUGUAGGUUUGAUCCCUGGCCUCAUUCAAUGGGUUAAGUAAGGAUCUGGUAUUGCCUCAAGCUGCAGUGUAGAUUGCAGUUGUAGGCCUGGAUCUGGCACUCCCCCCCCAACCCCGUAACCCUUAUGCCACUCACCCCCAUUUUGCCUCUGAGAUAUAACUUGAAUUUGAAAAUCGUGAUUGUUUAAUAUCCCCCUUACAAUUUCUCAAGAAAUCUUCAAGUUCAGCACUGUUUCCUUUAAGAGCAUGUCAUCAAUUCCAGGAUGUGACAUUAUCAAAUGACCCCAAAUUAUUUCUUAGUUUAUAGAUUAAUAUUUCUGGAUAACAGAGAGAUCGUAUUUUCUAUUCCUUCUUCUACAGUCUUUCCUAACCAUCCUG